AGGGCCCGAUACUUGCUGUACGUCAAGGGCAUGGCCGAAACCUCGGUGUAACCCGUGGCGACCUGAGACCGCUGGUCUAGGUCUUGGGUCCGGAGCGGCGGUAAGUACUUAGGUUUAAGCUAGGAAUUUAUUGGUUUCGCUUAUGUUCUUCUUCCGUUCUCCAAUGUGCUCGCAUGAAGUGCACCUGAUCCGUCCACCUUCCUGCCUCUGCACUGAUCGCCUUAUCUUAGAUUUAGUUCUUAGUAACCGAUUGCUCUAGUUCCUGAUUGGCCUGAAUGGCGACCCUUCCGUCUCGCCUCCGUACUUGUCGUAUAUAGAUCCGUGGUUUGGCUUUUCCUGGCAUCAAUGUGGCUAGCUCGGUGCCUUCUUCCGUUGUUCUUGAGCAGGGCUUGCUCAGCAAGGUGAGGUGUCGCCUUCCAAUUCUGGUGUACCGUCCACACUUCCGUGACACGGGCCCGGCUAUCCACAGGUCUCUCCUCCUACUGGUGUUCUCGGCUUUCCUGGGGGUCUGCUUCCUCUGGCCGGCAUUCCGGUUCAAACUUUCGGGUCUCUUCCCUUGGCGCCUUCUGUGAGUUGCUCUGCUGGCUGCUGCCUGUCCCGUGUGAUGUCAUAUUGGCUGGCUUCUUAAUCUCGGGAUGCUUCCCGUAGGGUUCCUCCCCUGGCUCUGGGGUUGCCGCAAGCACUGCUACCAUCUUCACUGGGCCCCCUGUCGGCGGUUUUCUUCCCUUGGGCUAUCCUGUCCAGGUUGGUCGGGUUGCCCAUUAGCUGUUGACUCGUUCUAGCGUUCUCUUCAGCAGUUCCCCGGGUUGCAGGUACCCGCUCCCUUGGGGGUAGCCUGCAGUCGUCUCAAUCAUGUGUUCGCCCAGCUUCACCCUUCUCCUAGCAUUCCAGCCAUGGACCAGGAAGUUGCUUAUCAGCGGGGUCUGGCCGAGGCCAACCAGUGGCUCCUGGGACCCUUAGCUUCUUCUACGGUGUCUCGCCAGGACGGUGCUGCUGCUGAGUUUCUGGGUUGGCUUUUGAGGAGUCAUGGCCGUGGGUGAAGCUGGUGGAGUUGUACGACAGACGACAUGCUCGUCUACAUGACGGUUUGGUGGCUGCCCCGGCAUCAGGGCCGGGGUGGUGGUCCCAUUGGGCCUGCCGCUGUGAAGUCCCAUCUGUCCACCUUGAGUGGUUUCUUCAGUAGUGCAGGCCGGUGUGGUCGUUUCAACAUCUCUACUGGUCGAGGCAACCCUUGCAACUGGGUCUGGGUUGAGGACUUCCACACCUCUUACCAGCGGUCUCAGGUCGCCACGGGUUACACCAAGGUUUUGGCUGUGCCCUUGACGUACAGCAAGUAUCAGGCCCUCGUGCUGUACCUGUGGUCACAGGUGGCGGUUGCUGGCGGUUUGUUGCCCCUUCUGGUCCUCUUGCGGGACCCGCUGUGUGUGCUGCUCUUGUGGCAGACCGCCCAGAGAGGUCACAACAUCGGGAAGCUGGGGGUGGGCGAUUUCGUAGAAUCUUCCCAGCCCAACCAGCUGUACUCUGGUUUUCCGCUGCCCCCUCAUCAGCACAGCACCAACAGCCACUGCAUGGUGCUGGCGUGGUGCAGCGGCACGCUCACCAUUCUGCUGCACCUGCUCUUUGUAAGCCUGGAACAGCACCUGGAGCACCUUAAGAGGCGGCUCCCAGUCGGGUGGCACCAAAUGUGGGUGGAGCACCCAGCAAUUUGGCUCAUCAUGGCCAUACCGCCCACAAUAUGUGCAGGGUGGUCCAUCAUACAUGCACGGACGCCUAUUGGAAGCACCUUCGUUGUUGUUUUUACUGCCACCACGGUUCUGCCGCCAUUGCUGAUCGGCAGCAUACUUGGUGAGGGGGGCCUGCUGCUCGGACAUGGAGACCAUGGCAGCAUGACUUGCGCCUAAUGUGGUCUGUACUGCUGCGGCGAUCAUUGCUGCCAGUUCAUCAGGUUGAUAGGAGCCCGAAGCUGUGGCGCUCUGACCACUUCCCCCUGUGUGGCCAUUUAGAAUCUGGCAGUCCUUGCUGUCAUGGGAGUUGUUGGUGCUGUGUUGCUUGCAGUAGAACUUAGACUGGCCGGAGCCACUGUCACUGUUUUUGCUUGGCUGCUUGUUCAGCCAUUUCUCCUUCUCAAUAGAUUGCUUAGACCCAGAGGCAUGAUCGCUGCUGGCAUGCCGCUCCCGCUCUGCCUGGGCUUGCUGCAGGUUGAUCCAGAUUGUUUUGGCAUCCACCACAAUGCUGUUCAGUUUCGAGCAUACCACCCUUCACAUGGAGUGAGCUCGUACUUGGUUCUGAUAUGCUCCCGCACUGCUGGAUCCAGGCCUUCAACAUAGCGCUCAGCAACAACUGCACAGGAAUAUGAGUCUCGAAUGUACGGCUCAAGCUCCCAUACCUGCUGCAGGUACAGCUGUGGCGAGCCGGUGUCCUGCCUGGUCUGUAAGUACUCAAGAAUCUUAGCUGUCUUACACUGAUGAGCAAAAGGUUCAUCUAAUUUUCCGAGAUAAUACUUGAGAAGGCUCUCACCGUCCAAUGCUGGCUUGACAGCAGUACUGCUGUCACACUAGUGUGCACUGCUGCCGCUACAUCCUCUAAUAAAGCCAAUCUUGCGGAGGGCAUGUUCGAAGCCUGUUUGAAGGAUAGUGCAGUCCAGCUGCAGAUUUUAUUCAUGAGGCAGGUAGUGGGGACGGCAUGGCCAUCCCACAGGCUGUUGUACGCGGAGCUGGCUGAACUCCCCUUACGAUAUUACAUGGUGAAGCAGAUUCUCCGUUUCUGGAACCGCCUUCAAAAGCAAGUGGGAUCCAUUGCUCAUGCCGUUUUACGGCAGGAGAUAACCGAUGCCCUGACCAACCCGGAAUGGGAGGGUUGGGGAAUCUCAAUGUUACGACUGUUUUCCUUCUUGGAGUGCAACAUUUGGAGCGGAAUACUGCAAGAAGUCGUGGGGGUAAAGGAGCGUGUUGACUGGUUGUUGAGUAGACCUCUACCAGAAGGAGCGAUAAUAACGGCACUAAGAGAGCGUUUGGUGAGUGGCUGGGACCAUACGCGUCUGACUGUCUUGCCAGAGGAGUACCCAUCAGAUGGGAAGCAACCGGGAGUGCAAAUGGCAAAGUAUAAGCACUGGAUGGGGCUGCCCUUUUCGGGAGCUGCAGCUGUCAUGUGGCCAACACAUGCUAAGGUUUUCAUUCCUCGUUUAGCACAUCGUAAGCUAAUGCAGUUUCGUUUAUGUUGCUGGGCUUUGGAGGCAAACAGAGCACGAAGAAGUACCAUGUCCUCAGGGGGCAGCGGUUUUGCCACUGUUGUGGUACUAAUAGCCGAAUUGAGGAUGAAAAACACGUGUUAUUGGAAUGCCCAGCCUAUAAUGAUAUUCGUGCUGAAGAGGGAUUCGAUCAUCAACAGAGUAUGUUGGAGGCCAUGCAAUGGGAACCUGCACGUCUGGCGAGGAUGUUGGAACGUAUUUGGGCUCACCGAAACUCAAUUACCCCCUUUGGACGCUAAUCUGGGCUGAUGUGCGGUGUUUCUCCUUUUCUCCGUGGCUUUUAGGCGUUGUAGUAUUGCCCUUGGGCCCUCGGCUCGUAUGGGUAGUCUUACAGGUAUGGGGUCACGCACCCCCCAACCAUGUAACACACACACACACACACACAUCCUCUCCCUCUGCACAGGCUGCCUGGGCAGCUGCAGUGUAGCGGAAGAUGAACCAUGCACGAGCAUCCUUAACUAAUGUGCAUAGUUGCUGCUUAUGCCAGAUGUCAUACAUAGUACCUGGUGUGGGAAAGGUGUUGUCAAGCCGAGAGCUUCAUCAACAGGCACCUGUCCUUUGUUGAGUCAGAAGUGUGCAUGCAGGGCUUGCAUUACAUGCAACACCCCCGUCUUAAAGGCAGGGAACUCCUAGCGACGGAAACGGAACAUGGUGGGUCCGGACCAUGAAGAGUCUGUGUUCUCCAUUUUGGUAACGCUGUACCAAGGGCUGAUAGAGGGUGAGGACUGCACGGACUCUCCUGAGAGUUUGCUUAGGAGUGGAAACUGCUGAGGUACCGAAGUGACUGCUGAAGAAGCUCGGCUGUGUAGCCGAAAUGUCGGACCCAGCUGUGAAUCAGGCGAGUAGCUGGCAGCAUGUUCACUCUCUGCUACUUCAGCUGCAUCCACGUGCUCCAGAUCACCGCUGCUGCCUGCAUUUUCGAUGCGUGCUUCUGAUAUAAGAAUGUUGCAUGACUCUGAUGCAGUACCGGAGUACUCUGGGUUGUCACGCCACUGCACCUCCUCCUCCAGCUCAUGCUGUUCAGUGACAGGUUCGAGACCUGGGUGAGGCUGCUCCUGCUGAGCAGGGAGGGACGGCCCCUCCUGCACUCCUUCUUGCUGCCUCGUGUGACCUUUCCUAGGGCGCGCUGGCGCAGUCGAAUGCUCGAUGGACCCAAUGGGCCAAGCUGAGCGAUGGGGAUUGAUGUGACGUAGAGAAUCUGCCAGCACUCACAAGAUAAUGAGACUCUUACAGGGCUCUAGUGAGAGCACGGUAGUCGGCAAUGUCCGGGGACACUGUUUCACUGCUGAGUCUGUAUGGCCGGAGCCUGUGUGCACGUACAAUGGUCCUGGGACACACACCAAUGCUCGGAACGAUUUGGUGGCUGAGUACGGCAAAGUGAAGUAGUCCUUCAACAGGUGGGGCCCGGCACAUGGAUGCGCCAACAGAGCCACCGCCAGCUAGUUCAACAGUUGCAAAAGAAACAAAAGGACGCUCAAUGGACAGUGAAGCGUAUUCGAUGUGCCUCGGAAGGCUGGCGAGCGGUGUCAGCUUAGUGCGCGGACGCGAAAGCCUAGCUCAACAGAUGGGCAACACCACCUGGAUAAGAUACAGCGACGGAUCGCUUUCAAUAAUAGCUACACAACAAACUCAGGUAACUGGCGUCAGAUCCCUUACAGUAAGAAGUAACUUCUUACGGCCGCCUGCUUCUGGACGACUCGUCGACCUUCUUGGUAGUUUGGCUGUGGGAAAUACUACGAAAUAAGAGCUUUCCUUAAAAGCUUUCGCCAGGCUUAACCGGCGAAAUCCGGCUGAGUUCACCUCAGAGAGCGCGAUCGUGGCAGGCGAGGACGGGCUGGGGACUAAUCCCUGUCAACCGCGACGGUAACAGCACUAAGAGCGGACCUUGAGAAAAGCCGUAUAGAUCCUCUGAUAAUUCUGCUCUGAUGGCGAAUGUGCGUCACGAGGUAGAGUGGGCUCGCAGGCUUGUUACAUAAAUCGGGCUUAGCUGCCCACCUGUGAUGCUAUUAUUCUUAAUAUUUUUGCUCAAUACGAUCACGAAGAGUUGCUUCGAGAGCCAAACGACAAAAGGUUGGCCUCUUCGCACUCACACUUAUGGCGAGGGAUCGACUGAUCCGCGCCGGGCCUUAUCGCACGAGGCCCUAUCCUGGAUGCGUAGCGUUCAUCCGACUAACGACAGAUGAAUAGCAAAUGAACAUCCUCAAACCACAACGGAAAGCGCCUUAUGCGCUAGUCAAGCAGUUCCCUAAGCCUCAACUGAAUUAAGACGCGACUCGUCCAACUACCUUCGGUUGGCUUCACCACCUGCGGAUAGCGACUAACUCGGUCGUGGCACAUAAUUUGUACGCUUCAGGUGUUUGGGCGUGACAGGGGUGCUUCGGGGAUAUAGGGAGGAGAAGGGGCGCCGGGGGAAUGGGGGGCUCUCUCUCUCUCUCCCUCUCUUUCAAGGAGCGGCCGCGCGGCUUGGGCGGCGUGGAAUGCUGCUGGCGCGCGGCCGGCGUGCGGCUUGGCUGUGUUCUUCUAUAGUGUAAGGCCUCUUGGAAGCGGGUCCCCUUUGUCGCUCUUUCACAGCACGUUCAUCCUGGUCAGCUUCGGCAGAGCCAUGAGAUCCAGGUUAAGGGGGACAGGAGCACGGAAAUGCAAUUCACCGCUGAUGAACCAAAAGCAUUAACCAGCUUAUACAGGCUUCCUACAGCACGAUGCUUUUGAGCAACGUGCAGGGUGAUUUAAGCGGCUGUUUAAGCAGGCCUUACAAACCUGCCCAUGCCCUCAGUACUGCAUAUCAAAUCAUUUAGUAACUUACUACCUUGCGCAUGCUACGCAUCACGCCCCAAAUGAGGCAUAAUUUGGUCUAAAUACGGGCGUGCACACAUGUCGCGCUUAUACUUGACAGAAGUGGCUAACGAAUUAAUGAAUAAAUAAAUGCGGGUAUUGCGGCACCAGCUAGUGCUGGCUGCCUAUGCAACUUAAUGGCGCGGUGGGCGCCAGCCUCUGCGAGCCUCAAAAGCUAAUAGGGGGCGGCCUCGUUGGAAGGAAUAAAUAUCUUGAGGAUGUGAGGAUAUCCAGGCAAGGACAAUCAUAACAAGGUGCUGAGUUUGUUGUUUACGUACCUCUGAUAAUGAACGUACUGACGGGCGCGUAAACAUACGCCAUACGCACGCGCAGUGUUCUCCAACACCCUUAUACGGCGUUCCAGCUGCUUGUCAGGCGCACUACUGCUGGUCAGGCGCCUCUGUGCCACCGAGAUAGACAGCUCUUCCUCAACCCUAAAAAUCACUGGAUUAAUAUUACAAUAAAUUGCUAUCUAUAGCUCAACAUGGUGUCAGGUUUCAACAGACGGAUGCCUUGGGGAAAAAGAAGGAAGACGUAUGCCCAACCGCAAGGAGCUGAAAAGGGCCCUGUAAGCGAAAGCCCUGCAGGCGGGGUGCAGCCAAAGAUUUAUGGCAAACGCCGAUAUUUGUUCGCUUUUGUCAAAACUAUGACGGUCGUGGCAACAGCCUGCAAAAGCGCUGUAAACGUCGCGCUCCACCCGCCUGUGCCAGCUGGCUGGGUGCCCUUGGUGCACGUUUUGUGCAUGGCGGUCGUCUUUGCCAUCCCCUGGGGCCUCUCGUACAUGGGUGCCAGCUUCAAGCACAGCAACAACGGUCCGAUUACGAUGCUUUGCGACCUACGCCCGGUCGAUGACCAGUUAAUGCAAUCGAUCCCCGUAGUCGGUGGUGCUAUUUUCACCUAUGACUAUAUUUAUUAUAAUCCCCUGCCGUCGUCACCAGAAGAGGAUUUUCCUACACCGCCGCCACUGCUACCACCGCCACAGCUACCACCUGAUCCUCCUCCCAAUCCUAUGCGUUUCGGCGUCAAGGACCAUAAACCGUCGCCAUUUCGCGACUGCUCCCCAUAUGAGGAUGUCUUCGACUACUCUGACAUGGCGGAAAUGCAGCCUCUUAACAACACCGCCUUUGUCUCAAUUGUGAUUCAGGUGAAUGUGUAUGUGUGUAUGAGUAUGCGUCUGUAUGUGUAUGCGUGUGUGUAUAUGCGUGUGCGUGUGCGCCUGGGUUGACAAGGUCUUCGCGCCUCUAUGCAGCAGCCUCUGUACAGCAGGCGACAUGUUAAUUCAUAAUCGAUCAUCCGUGACGAGCAAACGAUCGAGCUGUGUACAAUGGUCGGUGCAUUACUGUGCAACGUGCGCACCUAUAAUCCACGGCACCUUCCCGAAUAAUAUUAGGUAACCCGUCCCUAGCUAUUAUACGAGGGAUCAAAACAUUUACUGACCUCAUUAGCCAUCCAUGCCCUACCUCGUACGUAUGCAGGAUGUGGACGUGAAGAAGUUCGUGGCCAGUGCCCUCGUCAACGUGUGGUUUGGGGAGCCUCCAGAACUGUCAAGAAAGGCUCCCCAAUUUGAGAAUGGAACGCGCAGAUUGCUAGAUCCCCGCUUGACAUUGACAAUCACCAUCAACAACAGGGAAGUCAUCACGAUAAAAACGAUUGGCAAGGCGUCGUCUGCCCUAGAUAAUCUACCGGUCUUUGCAGAAAGGCAUCUUCGAAUGUAUCCCUUUGACAGGUAAGGUUCCUCUGUGGGCAAGCUGGGGUUCCUUUCUGAACCGCUGUGAGACCUCGCUACCUGAAAGAUGUUGCACUUUUAAAUUUCGUUAAAACCCACACAUCUGCUGCCUGUCUGCCUGUCUGCCUGUCUGCCUGUCUGCCUGUCUGCCUGUCUGCCUGUCUGCCUGUCUGCCUGUCUGCCUGUCUGCCUGUCUGCCUGUCUGCCUGUCCGUCUGUCUGUCCGUCCGUCUGUCCGUCUGCCUGUCUGUCUGUCUGCCUGUCUGCCUGCCUGCCUGCCUGUCUGUCUGUCUGUCUGUCUGUCUGUCUGUCUGUCUGUCUGUCUGUCUGUCUGUCUGUCUGUCUGUCUGUCUGUCUGUCUGUCUGUCUGUCUGUCUGUCUGUCUGUCUGUCUGUCUGUCUGUCUGUCUGUCUGUCUGUCUGUCUGUCUGUCCGUCUGUCUGUCUGUCUGUCUGUCUGUCUGUCUGUCUGUCUGUCUGUCUGUCUGUCUCUGUAUAUCUGUCUGUCUAUAUAUCUGUCUGUCUGUCUGUCUGUUGCUGCUGUUGACGGGGUGUUACACUGUGGGUGGCUCGCCCGCAGAUAAAGGACGAGCACCGGGGGCCCUGACCGGGGGACGGCUCCACUUCUGUCUUUUCCUCCGCGUACGCCUCACUAACUUGCUCACGCCAGCCGGGGCGCUCUCCCAGCCCCUGGCUAGGCAACACAGCAGCGCCAAAGGCUGCAAACCGUACUAAGCGAGAGCCGCACGAGAGGCUCCACACCCCCUCAGGGCUCCCUAACCAAGCUAUCUUCCACCGUUCCGCCUUGCCAGCCUAUUCACACGCCCUCAAACCUCAAGAACGCCAAAUAAAAACAAAAAAAAACGCCACCGGGUCUUUGUCAAAUACUCAAAAACCGAGGCAGGGGAAGACCUACCCCGCCAGGCCAGACAUGGCCCGGAAGAGGGAUGACCCCCCUUGUUAUUGCACGCGGCACAUGCCUGCCAGCUGUACAAGCGCGGUUGCUUCAUCGCGGUAAUCGGGUGUGGGCUACACACACUUGGCUGUGCAGCGUUCAAGACCGGGGGCAUUCAGCCUAAGCACAAAGACGCGUGGCAGUCGCUUACCGGUGAACCUGUAAGAUAUGCAAUACGCGAUGCAACCGCUAGCGUAUGGCGUACGGCUCAGCAUGAGGCCCCCGGGACUGUAAAUAAUGGAAACUCCAAAAGCUAAAGAAAAUGUCAUACUUCCUGCACUAGUAGUAGAAGUAUUUACCAAUUUUAUACUAUGCUCGACGCAGCCGGAGUAAUUACCAGGAAAGCUCGUCGGGGUAGGGCCCUACAUGUGCCGUCGUUCGUUGGCUCACUGCAGUCUGGGACCUGCCUGCCCCAGCUAACGCCUACGCUAUCUGUUCUGUCGUUCCCUAAAAGUGCGUAGUUAUAAGCAGUCGAUCCUAGUAUGUAAAUGUUGGCACCGGCCCUACAUCCCUCGUGGCGAGCAUUCAUAUGCAGCGAAUCCGCCUCACCACAUGCUGUACCGUGGUACGACUGAUCGCGCUUAUUUGUCCCUUGUAGGAACUAGUCCGACUUGCGACAUAUAACACUAUUAUUAUAAUUAUAUUUAUAUUUAUAUUUAUAUUUAUAUUUAUAUAUUAUUAUUAUUAUUAUUAUUAUUAUUAUUAUUAUUAUUAUUAUUAUUAUUGUGGCUAAUGCGAUACCGUUAGCCCGGUAAUGUCCUGUCCCAUAUAUUGCAACCCGCACCGUGCGUGCGCUAACGGUCACACGACACCAAAGUGAUGUUACAACCACGCCGUGCUUCCUUGCCGCUUCUAUCCCUUAGUACCUUCGGGCAAGUAGUUUUAAUUCAAAAACAUCGUGAGGAAAUUCCAAAUCCAAACAACUGUUGCAUGUAACAGGUCCACAUAUGCCGUCGUACUUCAUUUUGUACCAAUCACAGGUACAGGCUCUACAUCCGUGCGAGCAUGUCCUUGGCGAUAGACGACAACAGCACUUUCCGGCUUCCCUAUGUAAUCGCUGUCACCCAGAAGGGCUCUGGUAUGAAUUACUAUGUUCGCGAGCCACGUCGACGCUACCAAGCCUCCAGGGUGGGCAACCCCGCACUGUCCGAGGUCUUAUUCACAAUUUGGGGCGUGCGUACGAAAACGUCACGCUUCGUUUCCAUUUUUAUUGUGUUGCUUAUGUGGCUCCUGAGCUUCAUCGUUCUAACACGGGCUGUUUACACGGUGUCUAAGCGGCAUGAGGUCAGCAUGGAUGACGCGGGCCUUGCUGCAACAGUCCUGUUUGCAUUGCCCCAAGUGCGAAUCAUGCAGCCGGGUAUCCCACCUGAAGUUGGCUUGGUUAUUGACAUGGCAGGUUUCAUCUGGAACAUGGUCAUGGUCUCGGUAGCUUGUAUAAUGUACCUCUGGGUCAUGUACGCCAAAGCGGUGCAGAGGGAGCAGAGCAACGCAGCGGGGUCGCAAACGAGUGAUUCACAAAUCACCAUUGUUGUAGGUGAUCAAGACACUCCCGCAUGCGCACCAGCUGCAGCAGCUGCAGCCGCAGAUGUUUCGCAACCGGCCCCUGGAUCCGCUGAUUCCGGCGGGCUCGCUACUUCCUCUGUUACCGCUCCACAGCCUGCACCUGAACCUUCAUCUGCGUCACCUAAGCCCGCACCUCCCACUUUUAAUUCAGGGGAUCUAAUUGGAAUAAGUUAUUAAUUGCGAGGCCUCAUCCCCAAUCACUUCCUCCCUGGAGGAACUUAUCAGGGCCCAGGGCCUGGGCGCGAGGUGCUUUGGAAUAAUGUGCUUCUUGGUCAUGAAGUAUUGAUGGACGUUCUCCUGGGCGGACAGGCUGGAGGAGGAGUACUGCAGGUUUCGUUGCUUCAUGCAGCGCUCCGCUGGUUGAGGUAGACACUGCUAAAAAAAGGCUUGAGACGAAGAAACAUUUCCAGGCACUUCCGCCAGGUAGAUUAUUAUGAACACGGCACCAUAUCGGGACGGUUGCCUUAUGUGGCCAAUUUGCUUGCGCCAUGCUUGCACAUGUCACGGCUUGUUGUUAUGUACGGCAGGUUGUGGCUCGAUCGGUUUGUUACGGCUGCUUGGCAGCUGAGUCGCAGCUGAGAGGGGAUUGUUCGAGACUGUACUGAGAAGAACCAGCUGGAAAACGUAAAUCAGCAUACUGUGUUGCCUUCACUUAUUCAAAAAGCUCACUUGCGAAAUCGGCAGUGGUUAGGUCCCUGGGGGUCCUUUAUGUAGAUCCCCUGAAACCGCUGGUGCCGUACAUGACACACCUGCGAGGAGCUGUUUCCAGUAGACGAUAAAUAGACGGACAUAUUGUCCAAAAUCGAUUGUGACCGUUAUGUUCUAACCGUGAUCGUGCAAAGUUUUUUCCACUUCAACGGGUCAUGGGGUUCAGGGCGGGAGGUAAUAAAAUUCACCAAUUGGGUCAGGACCAGAGUCCAGGGAGGCCGCCAAUCAGCCACUCGUAACGCAACAGAGGAUGAUCAUCGGUGCCAUCCCAGACCAAAAUCGUGUAUGCAUUGGUCGCAUCCGACGACCUUGCCAGCCUGGCCAAAUUACAUGGCUUGGAUUUUAGUUUAGGGCCACAAUGUGUGUUUAAGCAAAACUGUCUGCCAGCCGUGCAUUACUCCAGCACCUGGCAGUGAUAGGAACCACAUAUACGGCAUAAUGUUGCCGCUCAUAAGGCCGCGAGCAAACUUAUACGGCGGAUGCGCCUGCUGGAACAUACGUAGCGAGCAUGUUUUACAAAUUUGUAAAAAAAACCGAUGUCAGGGUUAUAGUACGAGCCAAAGACGUGUCACAGGGUAAUAAGGAAGCGUUCUUGACCCUCGCCCGAAUCCGAAUGAAUUUCUGUCAGGAAGUGAUUCCAAGCAAGAAGCCAUAACAGGGAUCGCUCACGCAAUCAGCGCUAUAACUUGAUACACGGUGCGGUCAUGUCCACUGUAAUGAUGUGUCCACAAGGGGUAGCGGGCCACCGAUGCCACCUCCAUACACAUAAACAUGGUUUCAGCAUGAACAUGGCAUGUUUGGCACAGUGUGCCUUCACGUCACUAAGCAGCGUCUGCUCUUAUUACUUGCUGUGACACCUGCUGCAGCUAAGAACCGGAUGAGCACCUGACGAGUAACAAUCAACCAAAACCUAAGUGUAACAGCAGAGGCCCAGCAAUGGCUCCCGGGGGCACUUUGCGGCGAACAAACCGACAAACCAACCAGUCUCCUCCCCAAGUUGAGUCUGCAACGCAAAACGAGCGCAGCAGCGGAUGGCCAUUCGAUCUAUCAUACGGGAUACUGGAAGGAAAAAAGAAAAGAAAGAAACAUUGCAAACAACCUUUAAGGACAACAGUGUUAUUUUAACGAGCAGGGGAGCCUUCCCAGGUCGAAGUUCCAAAGGGCUGCAAUACAGGGGGGUGCAGGGGGCCCCCCGCUUCAAGACCAAGACCAAGUCAUCCACGCCGCGAUGCUACGCGCACGGCUGCAACACCAGGGUGCCAGUGUGCCAGCAGAAACUAUGCUAGACAGAUGGGACAGACAUACGGAUAAACAGGCGGGACAGGAAAGCCGCAGAGGCGGCAUCACAUGGCUCGAUAUUGUGCAACCGUAGUAAAACAGCACCUUUGCAUGCACAGAGAAGCCACACAUCAGUGCUUUGCGAGGCUCUUUUCACGUUGCUGCCGAUUGACGGAAGCACACACACGUACAUACAUACAUACAUACACACGCAUACACACAAUGGCGCCGAUGCGAUACGUUACCCCACCGUUAUACCCGCGCACCACCCCGCCAGAUAGAAUACUACUGCUCACUCGUGCCUCACUGCUCGGAAGCCGCACACUCCGACCACCCCACAGACGCACAUUUACACAAUAUACACACAUUUACACAGUAUACAUACACAAACAGGUAUAUGGAUGCUCACACACUUACAGAGACACAUACACACGCGUCUAUACACGAACACACACGCGCUGAAAAUACGACAGCAAGUUGCGACUUGAUGUCCUAGGUUCGAUCCCUCGGUACACCAGCUUGGGUGGUCCUCUAUGGAUCUAGAAAACGUGAAAUGUCUAAUCGCUUAGACGUUGACACAAUCGGUAAUCCCUACCUUCGAUUGGUGGCGGCUGAAGGCAGAAUCAACCGUCUUGGACUUGCAGACCGGGUAUGGCUUAGUAACCCAGUGUGGUGUUAUGCUGUGGUGGAUGGCGCUGUUUGGUGUUCAAUCCUAGUUGUGACCAUCCACACGUGUGUGCAAAUGGCCCAGAAGCCUCCCACUCCGCAUCAACAACAACAACAUGCAACAUUCACACACAUACACACACAUAAGUAAGUAGUAUCCUGGGUAUCACGGGAUCUAGCCUCCGCCGAUCGGUUCUUUUCCUGCGAUAAGACGUGAUACAAUAAAGUACGCGUGCCAUUGCGACACACAUGAACACCACGGGUAUGUAUGUAUGCGCGUGCACAUAUCCGCACAUAUGCGAAAAGUUUGCAAUCUGUUGCUGUGGGGCCCCCCAUUAUCAAAUUACGAUAAUUGCGAUACUUCAAGGCUGUCGACCAGUUCAGCCAGCUAAGCAAUAGGCUCGAAGCAAUACAACGACGCCAAUCAUCGUCCACACCCUCCGGAGGGUUGCUAGUCAUCACGGCAGCUGCCAUAUGUAGCUCUCCUCAAUGCCGCCAUCCCCUAUCCUGCCGCGGCCGUUAAUACGACACAGAUAGAAGCGCAAUAUAUUAAUAUUGAUCCAGUUUUAUAAUACCACAUAUAUGCAACAAACGAGCAAAUCAACAUACCCCCCCCCAUAAUAGGAUCGGCAGCUCUUACAUAAAAACAUCCUAUAAAAACAAGACAGACCAGACCGGGAGCCCCAAAAUCACAAUCACAUGACGGCUGUCCGGGUCCAGGGUCCGGGUCCAGGGCAUUUGUGUGAAGUGUGCAUAUAAAGAAAUAUAUUCGUUCACUUCAUAAGUGUUAAUCCUCAGGAGCAUGGACACAUAGGUAAAACCUCCUCGCAAUCCUUAGCAACUAUAUGCAUAUAUGCAUAUAGCACUUGAACCACGCAGAGAAUAAAAGUGAGGCACCCUGCAGAUGCCCGGUCCAUACCUGACAGACAGGACAUACAGAGUACCACACACACUCCGUGUGCUUCCCUUCUCCCCCCCCCCCAACACACACACCCCAGACGCAAUCACCCUCCUCCUCUCCCGAAUUGUUUGUCCUUUCCUCUUCAACCCUCCUCCUCCUCCGCCCCCUCCUCCCGAGACACGGACACGAGCAGCUGCAAGUGCAGUGCAGUAAUACGCUGCCUGCCGCCCAGCCCAGGGAGGAGGGUGAUGGAUGAACCAGCACAUGCGCAGCUCCCCAUUCUCCAAACCCCCCACUUGCGCACCACCAGCACCCUCCGGGGUAUGCAGAGGGGGGGGAGAGAGAGAAGAGAGAGAGAGAAAGAGAAGAGAGCAGGCAAUCAAGCAAACGUGAGCCUACAUACACACAUGAAAUGACGCGCUACAACUCCUGCUGCUGCCGCGAAGCUGCACCUCCUUGUCCCGAGUCCCUCGCUUUCCCCGCCCUUAAACCCUUUCCUCCCCCUCCUCCUCCUCCUCCUCGUCCGCGCCUCCUCGUCCCUGCCAGCGCAGACGCCACCGCCUGCGGUCGCGUUGGUUGCGGACGUAAGGCCGCGGACAGGCCGCGGCCUCUGUUGCACUGCAGCCGUCGUCUCCAUCAUCAUCGUCAUCGUCAUUGUCAUCCCCGUUGUCUAAUGCUGCUGCUACUACUACUGCUAGUACUGCUACUGCUACUGCUGCAAAGCCUCCUCGGGACUAGUCUCGCAAGCCGCCAGCUCCUUCCGAAGGCUGUGUCGUACCAGGAAGCCCCGUACGGCAGCCGCCACCGAGUUGGCCGCAUGGUACUGCCAAGGCACACCACCGGAGUCAGUGAGGUUCAGUGAGGCGGGCGAGCGGGAUAAAGUGGAGUGGAGUGGAGUGGAGUGGAGCGGAGUGGAGUGGAGCGGAGUGGAGUGGAGGGAAGAGAAGAGAAGAGGACUAUAGCAUGCAGGGUAGGGUUGGAGUGUGAGGUAAGUCUGUUGCUUAAGAUGGAAAGCAACAGACUUGGUACAGAGAAAGGGAAAUGCGGUGGAGUGAAGAGUAUGUGGCGUGAGCGAGCUGAGCGUGCGAGCACUGUGUCGUCCUCAAGGGGGCCCUCCCAACAGGAGUAACAACACACACUCGGCUGCGCUACAAUACGCUGAUGAAAUGAACCCCCUCUGCGCCAAGACCCCACCCCCCCCCCACCCAACCGCGGGUAACACACAAGGCCACUGCGAAUUACGAGACCGCUGCGGCCUCCGGCACAUGUUCAGUAUCGUAAGCAAGCUGACCAGGAACGAAGUUGAUGCGCCGUUGAUCCGCUAGAUUUGGUUGGAUGCUGGUGGUGAGUUGCCGACCCCAACGAAUACACUCUGAAGUCGGAUGGGGUGAAUGGAUUAGGGUGCCCCUCUAGCAGGGGAGAGCAGGGACUGCCCCGGGAAAGGGGGCCGCUGGCGAAGUUAACCACCCUGUAACAACAUACAUACAUACAUACAUACAUACAUACAUGCAUACAAAAACACAGGCACACACACACGCACACCCCAUCAUCGCGGUGCCUCUUCUCACAUGCGCUGAGGUGUACUUUGCGUGCGGCUGGGCUUUCGGCAGCCGCUUGCUGAGCUUCCUGUGCAGCUUGUCCUCCUCGGGCGGUGGCAGCGGUGUGGCGCACACACUGCCCGCCAGCGCGUGCAGCGUCUCCAUAAACGACACCUGCAGGCGGUGUGUGAGGGGUGAGGUGGGGGCAGAGGUGGAGGCGCGUAUGGGGGCAGGGGGGAGAUAAGAGGUAGAGGCAGGGAGAUCAGGAGCAACAGCUUGGGAGCCUCCAACGCUCUUCAAACCCUUUCAAGACCUCAACACACGAGGACGCCUAUACACGUAGAGAUAUACACGUACAGGAGCCUGAGCAGGUCCGAGAGAGAAAGAGAGAGAAAGAGAGAGGUGAGAGUGAGGGAUAUGGACAAGUCGUUGUGGGAAACGACCAAGCAAGGAAUCCAGGUGAUGAAGGGGAAUGCGAGGCAGAGGCCAGCAUGCCAGUCGGUUUUUCCUCGUUGCCCUCACACACCUUGUUGCCCUCGUAUAGAGGGACCCGAAGCCUCAGCAGCACGCGCUGCACCUCCUGCCGCGGGUGGUCGCUCCCGAGGGCCCCCAGCGGCGGGUGGCUGACCGCCAAGACACCUGCCAACCGAGAGGCGUGAAGCAAGCCGCCGACACCACCACUGCCGCCGCCGCCGCCACCGCCGCCGCCACCGCCAGGGCCAGCAGCCUCCGCCACGGAGGCGCACCAGGCCUUAGUAAAGCUCUCUAUGGCAGUCCUAGGCACCGGGCGAGCUGCUUCCGCUUCGUCACCGCCGUCAUCCGAUUCCAGAAGGUUCUCCCUAAGAACCGCAAUCACCAGCUGCAACAGAAUGAAGGUACACAGCACCACGAACACGGGGAAGUAGACGACGGCGGCGAAGGGACUGAGGGGGCAUUGGUUGUCCGUGGCGUCGGAGGGCAGGGCGGCCAGCAGCGGAUCCGAGGGGUCCAGGUACGUGCCGGCGGACAGGAAGAUGGUGGUGGCAGGGUCGGCUGGGGUGGAGUUGGCAGGGGCGGGGGUGGCGGAAACGGCGGACGAAGGCUGGGAGGUGGGUUGAGAGGAGGUGACGUUCCAGUCUUGCAGCACCAGCACGCAGUCGUCCGUGUUCAUGCAGUCCUGCAUGAUGGCGUCCCAGCCCUCACCGGUGAUCAUCCUGGACGCGAUGGAGGGAGAGGAGAAACAACACCAGAGGGAAGGUGACAACAGAAGGGGGGACAAGAUGGGGUUUCAGCGCAGGGGGGGCAUAAUGGUGCCAAAAUUUGGAAAUCCGGGAAAGGAAGGGGGAUUAAUAAAAUAUUUUUUCCUUGCAGGGGCCCGUUAGGUGAUGCAACGAGUCAAGAGAGGCGAUGGGAACCCAACUGAGAGCGGGUCUAGCCCGGGAAAGUCAUCAUCGUGGGUAAAGCCGGGCGUUCCUGAACAGGCAACAUCUCACCCUCCUCUGUUUCUUCGCAGGCCGACUUGACAGCGCCAUUCGGCAUUCGCCGCCUCUUCCUCAUUAUUUGACCGUCCAUGAAGCCCUCACCUCCCCGGCUCUUACGGACGCCCCUCCUCCCCCCCCCACCGGCACUUGUGACGGAACUUUUCUUAUUUUAAUACUAUAGAUACUUGCAAAUCUUAUCUCAUCAAUCUCCAGGCCCAAAAGUAUUUAGCAGUAAAAAACUCUUAUUUGUAAGUCACUGUAACUUGUAACUUGUGAUCUAACUAAUCCCACCGUGCACCCCUCGGACCCCUCCCCCUCCCCCCCCCCAUCAUGGUGAACCCACCGGAACAGCAGCAGCAUGGCGUUGGGCAGCGUGUCAAAGUUGGCGUGGUCGUUCAUGCUGUCACCGCGCUUGAUGCCGGCAAACAGGUUGACGCCGAUGAUGGCGAAUAUGAAGAAGAACAGCAGCAUCACACCACCCACAUUGGCCAGUGCCGGCAGAGAGGUAAUGAGGGUGUGUAGCAGCUUUCGCAUGCCAGUGGCCUGAACAGGCAAUGCAAGGAAAAAAAGCACCAGGCAUUGAGCGGAGGAGGCGAAAAGGAACACAAAGGGGGAAAACUUUUACGACGGAACGAUUACGAGGCCGUGAGAUAUCUUUCGCAUGCAGUGGCCUGAACAGGCAAUGCAUGGGGCAUCGGCCGGCCGGCUAUAGGAGGUCAUCACUACGUGGACGAGGGCGGCAGUGAAGCUACAGGCAGGCAGGCAGGCAGGAAGUAUAGAGUUCGGUCAACGGAAGUGGGAGAGAAACUGCUGUGUAAAGAGACGAAGCGCAACAGCUUCCACAAUACGCCUGUUGCCUGACCAGUUACCUGACCUGUUGCCUGACGAAAAGCGGGAUAUUGGUUUCGAAAUGCUUUCGGCCUGAAGCCUACCUAUUUACUAGGCUUGCACACAUAUUGUGAGCAGCGAAGACUCGAAAAUUAAAACUACAACGGAUAUUUAUAAGAGCCCUUGGCGUGCCAAAGACAAAGCGUGUAUGUCCGCUACCCUCUCUCGCCAACUACUAGGAGCGAGCUCAAAGAGCGUGCAGAGUGUGCGAGGACGGCACGGUCUCCGCACCUGCCGCACCAGUCGGACGACCCUGACCACUCUCAGCACCCGCAUCACUGGCAUGAAGCUCAGGUCACGAGUCCCGCUGAAGUCCAGCGCCACGGACACCGCCGACACCGCCGCCACGAAGCAGUCGAAGCAGUUCCAGCCGUCGCGAAAGUACGGCCGGGGGCCGAACGCCGCCACCUUGAGAACCGCCUCCACCACAAAGAUGCACGUGAACACGAGGUUGCUGUACGACAUAACGGCCUGUUGUACGGCGCAAGGCGAAGGAGCGAAACGGGCGAGGUACGUACGCAUAUGUGUACAUGUGAGGGUAGCGCAACUCUAGAACGUGUAAUAAACACACAUAUGCGUGUAUAGGAUCUCACAGCAUACGUGGAACUCACAAUUCUCAUUUCCAAGUUGAGUCCAAAGCCCAAAGUCCGCAUUCAUUCCUUCGUGCCAAACCAACCAACGGGCUCUGUCAUGCUCGCGACAACCCGAGCUGCCUGAGUUGCUUCCAGAGUCCCCCCUUCGAUAGCCCCCCCGCCCUCCCACACUAAAGCAGGGCAAAGCACCGCCCACAGCGCCCCCCACGGUACGAAUACACCCCGCCAAGACCCGCCUCAACCCCACCGGGGCCCCUCUCCGAACAUGUGCUGCUCUCAACUGAACACACGAAAACGAACAAAAACCAAGUCCUUACCACUCCCCGAAGCUCCCUGCCCCUUUUUUUCCCUCCCCAGCCUUCCUUUUCCCCCCCAUUCCAUUCCCGAACUCCCCUAUAUCUAUCCUAAUUUCCCCUAUCUUCCCCCAUCCCGCCGAACUCCCACCAGCUCCACCACCCAACCACCCAUCCCCCAUCCCUACCUGCCAUGUUGCAGACAUGUCCGUGUGAACCAGCGCAAUGAACACCACGUUCGACAAUAUGACCAACAGCAUCGACAACUCAAAGCGCCGACCCGCCACGGCAGAGUACACCGCCCCACGGAGGCGACCCGCCGGCCGCGGCGGCACGUACGGCACCUUGGAACGUAGCAGCAGCCGCUGAACCUGAACCCAGGACUGUUGCUGGGGAGUCAGGAAGGCCCCGCCCGCGGCGUCCUGCUCCGCUUGUAGCUCGGCAAACUGCGAGAGAGAGAUUGAGUCAGUUACAAAAGGUUUGGGCGGUAGGUUGGUUGGUUGGUUGCGGUGGUUAUUGUGUUGAUGGUGGUUAUGUGGUUUAGGGUUUGGUGCAAAGGCCCUAGAAGUUACAGGGGAAAUACGGGCAUUACGGACCGCUCCCUCGGCGAGUGGGGAAAGGCAAAUCUGCAAAAUCCAGGUAACUACCCACGAGCUCCAGGAAGGGGGCCGGGAUGGCAAAUCGAGAAGACAAAUGACAAGUGCGGGGGCCGGUAUGCGAGGGAAGAGAAGGAAAGAACGACGGAGAUGGUUACAGAGAGCGGAAAAAACCGACUUCAAAAUCGCACGGCAAAAAUUCAUAGCCCAACUACUGCAACAAACUGAGUAAUUCAGCCGGCAAUAUAUUUUAAUCGAUCAGCAGAAGGUCAAAAACCUUAGGGUUGUCUUCUUUAGUUCUUCCCCUUCGUAGCCCCGAAGGGGAACACCCCUUCGUCUCCGUCCUCUUUAGGGGAAGAAGGGGAACACCCCUUCGUCUUCGUCCCCUUUAGGGGAAGAAGGGGAAGAACCAAAGUCUUCCCCUAAAGUUCCCCUUUAGGGGAAGAAGAGCACUAAAGGGGAACAAAGACGUCCCCUAAAGGGUUGUCUUCUUUAGGGGAAGAACCAAAGUCCCUACUUGUUCAUCAUUAUCAUUAUUUUAAUGAUGACUUGGGAACACAACCCUUUGGUUCCCUUUGGGGAUGCUCCCCGAAGGGGAAGUCAUCCCCUAAAGGGGAACUAAAAGGGGAAGAAGGGGACUAAGGGGUACAUUCAAGGCGUUCCCCCAGUCCCAGACGCAAAGAGGUUAACGAC
Molecule: long non-coding RNA, 19934 nt
Filed under: Volvox carteri
Lineage: Eukaryota; Viridiplantae; Chlorophyta; Chlorophyceae; Chlamydomonadales; Volvocaceae
Description: long non-coding RNA (VCAR_LNC003362)
Source: RNAcentral